RNAcentral lists this long non-coding RNA (507 nucleotides) under Taeniopygia guttata (zebra finch). Its description in RNAcentral is "lncRNA (ENSTGUG00000021404.1)". Lineage: Eukaryota; Metazoa; Chordata; Aves; Passeriformes; Estrildidae. The record is from RNAcentral.
CACAGAUCUGUCUGGCUCAAGUGUAGCAGUCGCAGUCUUUUACUAUGUUUGCCUACUUAGCACCACUGAGUGAUGCUUGUUAGGGGCUCCUCCUUUGGGCUGAGGCUGAGUGAGUCCAAUACUUCUUCCAGAGAGGAGAGAGAAGAUGUUUCGUCUCUCACUGAAAGCAGUGGGAAUCAGAGCAGCUCUCCUGAAGUCACCUUCCUGUCUGUUGCAAUGAUCAGCAGAAGAACAAGAGUGGAUUUCAAAAAGACUGCUGGCAUAUGGGCAACACAAAAGAAGCUGCACAUUCUGACACUCCUAAAGAAAGAGGCAAGAGGUUCAAUGGUUUCUUUAUAAAUCUCACAGCUGUAUCACUAAGGUAGGAAACAUAAGCAAGCUAUCAUGUCAUUCUUGCAGGAGCAGAGAAAAGAUGCUCCUCUCACUGCCUAGAGAAGCUGAGAUGCUGCAAUGCUUUUUCUAAUCAAUGCAGGUCAUAUACAGUAUUUCUGAGCUUCAGCUUUAUAA